CCUUAGGGCGAAGAUAGUACAGGACAGUGGCGGAUGGGUGAGUAACGCGUAAGAGACCUGCCUUUCACACNCGGGAUAGCAGCUGGAAACGGCUAUUAAUACCGGAUGACACUUUUUCCCCGCAUGAGGAAGAGGUUAAAGAAUUUCGGUGAAAGAUGGUCUUGCGUCUGAUUAGCUAGUUGGUGGGGUAACGGCCUACCAAGGCGACGAUCAGUAGCCGGCCUGAGAGGGUGUACGGCCACAUUGGGACUGAGACACGGCCCAAACUCCUACGGGAGGCAGCAGUGGGGAAUUUUGCACAAUGGAGGAAACUCUGAUGCAGCGACGCCGCGUGAACGAAGAAGGUCUUCGGAUUGUAAAGUUCUGUCCUGGGUGAAGAUGAUGACGGUAACUCAGGAGGAAGCCCCGGCUAACUACGUGCCAGCCGCCGCGGUAA
This 436-nucleotide ribosomal RNA is filed under the name uncultured Eubacteriales bacterium. Its description in RNAcentral is "bacterial SSU rRNA". It matches the Rfam family "Bacterial small subunit ribosomal RNA", at positions 77 to 523 of the family's 1533-position model. The record is from RNAcentral. Lineage: Bacteria; Bacillati; Bacillota; Clostridia; Eubacteriales.